RNAcentral lists this long non-coding RNA (355 nucleotides) under Ananas comosus (pineapple). Its description in RNAcentral is "long non-coding RNA (ACOM_LNC012899)". Lineage: Eukaryota; Viridiplantae; Streptophyta; Magnoliopsida; Poales; Bromeliaceae. The record is from RNAcentral.
AAUGGAAUGCUAAGUGAAAACUAAAAAUAUAAAAAAUAUGUAAUCCGUCCAAAAUUCGCUGCGAUCCACCAAGUAAAUAGAGGGGAAGGUGAGAGACUAUUUUCUUUCUUUAAUCCUAUCUGAUUCGCUAAAAAUCUGCCAAAAAUUCGUUCACGUUCUAACCCACCCUGUUAGAGCAGCAAGUGAGGGCGGCUAACAACAAAAUAAAAAUUAACCACGUUUCGAAUCCGUCCAGAUCUGAUAAUAGAGAACAUGAGGUAAGAAUAAGAGACUUCUCACGCCUCUGAAUCUGAUCAGUUUGCAUCUCUAAUCUCAUGUGCUUGAAAUUUUUAUGCACAGUAAAUAUGCUUUGUAU